AUUGAACGCUGGCGGCAUGCUUUACACAUGCAAGUCGAACGGUAACAGGCCGCAAGGUGCUGACGAGUGGCGAACGGGUGAGUAAUGCAUCGGAACGUGCCAGUCGUGGGGGAUAACUAUCCGAAAGGAUAGCUAAUACCGCAUACGAUCUGCGGAUGAAAGCGGGGGACCUUCGGGCCUCGCGCGAUUGGAGCGGCCGAUGUCAGAUUAGGUAGUUGGUGGGGUAAAGGCUCACCAAGCCAACGGUCUGCAGCUGGUCUGUGAGGACGACCAGCCACACUGGGACUGAGACACGGCCCAGACUCCUACGGGAGGCAGCAGUGGGGAAUUUUGGACAAUGGGCGCAAGCCUGAUCCAGCAAUGCCGCGUGCAGGAAGAAGGCCUUCGGGUUGUAAACUGCUUUUGUACGGAACGAAACGGCUCUGGUUAAUACCUGGGGCUAAUGACGGUACCGUAAGAAUAAGCACCGGCUAACUACGUGCCAGCAGCCGCCGUAA
This 497-nucleotide ribosomal RNA is filed under the name uncultured bacterium. RNAcentral's name for it is "partial 16S ribosomal RNA". It matches the Rfam family "Bacterial small subunit ribosomal RNA", at positions 30 to 523 of the family's 1533-position model. The record is from RNAcentral.